UUAUUGGAGAGUUUGAUCUUGGCUCAGGACGAACGCUGGCGGCGUGCCUAAUACAUGCAAGUCGAGCGCGUGAAACUAGUUGAUCCCUUCGGGGUGACGCUAGUGGACCGAGCGGCGGACGGGUGAGUAACACGUGGGCAACCUGCCUGUAAGACUGGGAUAACUCCGGGAAACCGGGGCUAAUACCGGAUAAUACUUAUAUCCUCAUGGAUGUGAGUUGAAAGAUGGCUUUUCGGAGCAAUCACUUACAGAUGGGCCCGCGGCGCAUUAGCUAGUUGGUGAGGUAACGGCUCACCAAGGCAACGAUGCGUAGCCGACCUGAGAGGGUGAUCGGCCACACUGGGACUGAGACACGGCCCAGACUCCU
RNAcentral lists this ribosomal RNA (367 nucleotides) under Aquibacillus salsiterrae. Its description in RNAcentral is "Bacterial small subunit ribosomal RNA". It matches the Rfam family "Bacterial small subunit ribosomal RNA", at positions 1 to 340 of the family's 1533-position model. The record is from Rfam by way of RNAcentral. Lineage: Bacteria; Bacillati; Bacillota; Bacilli; Caryophanales; Bacillaceae.